This 497-nucleotide ribosomal RNA is filed under the name uncultured bacterium. RNAcentral's name for it is "partial 16S ribosomal RNA". It matches the Rfam family "Bacterial small subunit ribosomal RNA", at positions 28 to 507 of the family's 1533-position model. The record is from RNAcentral.
GAUGAACGCUGGCGGCGUGCCUAAUACAUGCAAGUCGAGCAAACAGACGAGGAGCUUGCUCCUCUGACGUUAGCGGCGGACGGGUGAGUAACACGUGGAUAACCUACCUAUAAGACUGGGAUAACUUCGGGAAACCGGAGCUAAUACCGGAUAACAUGUUGAACCGCAUGGUUCAACAGUGAAAGACGGUUUUGCUGUCACUUAUAGAUGGAUCCGCGUCGCAUUAGCUAGUUGGUAAGGUAACGGCUUACCAAGGCAACGAUGCGUAGCCGACCUGAGAGGGUGAUCGGCCACACUGGAACUGAGACACGGUCCAGACUCCUACGGGAGGCAGCAGUAGGGAAUCUUCCGCAAUGGGCGAAAGCCUGACGGAGCAACGCCGCGUGAGUGAAGAAGGUCUUCGGAUCGUAAAACUCUGUUAUUAGGGAAGAACAAAUGUGUAAGUAACUAUGCACGUCUUGACGGUACCUAAUCAGAAAGCCACGGCUAACUACGUG